Molecule: ribosomal RNA, 1889 nt
Filed under: human gut metagenome
Description: bacterial LSU rRNA
Rfam family: Bacterial large subunit ribosomal RNA
Source: RNAcentral
CUAAAUACUACCCAGUGACCGAUAGCGUAUAGUACUGUGAAGGAAAGGUGAAAAGCACCCCGGGAGGGGAGUGAAAAAGAACCUGAAACCCUGUGCCUACAAGCACCUAGAGCACGUCAAUGUGUGAUAGGGUACUUUUUGUAGAACGGUCCGGCGAGCGAUUGUAUGCAGCAAGGUUAAGGACUUAAGGUCUGGAGCCGAAGCGAAAGCGAGUUUGAAAAGGGCGUUAAGUUGCAUACAAUGGGCCCGAAACCGGGUGACCUACCCAUGGUCAGGUUGAAGUGGAAGUAAAAUUCCAUGGAGGACCGAACCGACCUCCGUUGAAAAGGCGGCGGAUGAACUGUGGGUAGCGGAGAAAUUCCAAUCGAACCCGGAGAUAGCUGGUUCUCCCCGAAAUAGUUUUAGGACUAGCCUCAAGUUAGAUACCUGGAGGUAAAGCACUGAAUAGCCUAGCGGCCGAGAGGUUAGCGAAGCUUAUCAAACUCAGAAUGCCAGAGUAUUGAUGCUUGGGAGUCAGACAGUGUCAGAUAAAUGUCAUUGUCAAAAGGGAAACAGCCCAGAUCUACAGCUAAGGUCCCAAAGUCAGGUUAAGUGGAAAACGAUGUGAAGAUACGCAGACAACCAGGAUGUUGGCUCAGAAGCAGCCACUCAUUCAAAGAGUGCGUAAUAGCUCACUGGUCGAGCGUCUUUGCGCGGAGAAUUUAACGGGGCUAAACCUGACACCGAAGCUUAGGCAAUACAGCAAUGUAUUGGGUAGGGGAGCGUUGUAUACGCGGUGAAACAGUAGCGCAAGCGGCUGUGGAGUGUAUAGAAGUGAGAAUGCCGGAAUGAGUAGCGCGAAUGCAGUGAGAAUCUGCAUGGCCGAAAGCCUCAGGUUUCUGGAGGAAGGUUCGUCCGCUCCAGGUUAGUCGGGAGCUAAGGUGAGGCCGGAAGGCGUAGCCGAUGCACAGACGGUAGAGAUUCCGUCACCACCAAAAGAGUUAAGCACAGGGACACAUAUGAAGUCUCAGAGCCGGGUGUUGGUUCCGGUAGAGAUCGAGGGAAAUUAGUACCGAAGUCUGAGAUGGAAGAUGGCGAGAAAAGCUGUGUGUAUUUCUGAGGUGCCCGUACCGCAAACCGACACAGGUAGGUAGGAAGAAGAUUCUAAGGCCAACGGGAGAAGGGUUGUUAAGGAACUCGGCAAAUUGACCCCGUAACUUCGGGAGAAGGGGUGCUCCAGAGAUGGAGCCGCAGAGAAUCGGCCCAAGCAACUGUUUACCAAAAACACAGGUUUGUGCUAAAUCGAAAGAUGACGUAUACGAGCUGACGCCUGCCCGGUGCUGGAAGGUUAAGAGGAGAUGUGCAAGCAUUGAAUCGAAGCCCCAGUGAACGGCGGCCGUAACUAUAACGGUCCUAAGGUAGCGAAAUUCCUUGUCAGGUAAGUUCUGACCCGCAUGAAAGGCGUAAUGAUUUGGGCACUGUCUCAACAGCCCGCCCGGCGAAAUUGUAGUACCGGUGAAGAUGCCGGUUACCCGCGACAAGACGGAAAGACCCCAUGGAGCUUUACUGUAGCCUAAUAUUGGGUUUCGAUGUUGCAUGCACAGGAUAGAUGGGACACAGGGAAACAAGUGCUUUGGCAUUUGUGGAGUGGCCGUUGGGAUACCAUCCUUGCGAUAUUGGAAUUCUAACCUGCGCCUUUGAAUCAAGGCGGGGGACAUUGUUAGGUGGGCAGUUUGACUGGGGCGGUCGCCUCCUAAAGAGUAACGGAGGCGUUCAAAGGUUCGCUCAGCUUGAACGGAAAUCAAGCAAAAGAGUGCAAACGCAGAAGCGAGCCUAACUGCGAGACUGACGGGUCGAGCAGUAACGAAAGUUGGAGUUAGUGAUCCGGUGGUAUGUGAGUGGAAAUGCCA